AAAUAGGACAGCCUUAGUGUAAAUUACCUGGAUACAAAAUCUCUACAAUCUGGUUAAUUUACAAUAGUUGGGUCAAGAAGUCCAAGAGCAUGCCCUCUUGACGGAGGCAAAACUGUUUGCAACUUCUUUAUCAUGUGGUCAAGCUUCCUCAACUUGUCCAUCUGCUCUGCUUGCAC
Long non-coding RNA from Telopea speciosissima, 176 nucleotides. RefSeq lists it as uncharacterized. The record is from RefSeq and is a predicted model, not a curated record. The transcript is spliced from 2 exons. Lineage: Eukaryota; Viridiplantae; Streptophyta; Magnoliopsida; Proteales; Proteaceae.